UGGGGAAUUUUGGACAAUGGGCGAAAGCCUGAUCCAGCAAUGCCGCGUGUGUGAAGAAGGCCUUCGGGUUGUAAAGCACUUUUGUCCGGAAAGAAAUCCUUGGCUCUAAUACAGUCGGGGGAUGACGGUACCGGAAGAAUAAGCACCGGCUAACUACGUGCCAGCAGCCGCGGUAAUACGUAGGGUGCAAGCGUUAAUCGGAAUUACUGGGCGUAAAGCGUGCGCAGGCGGUUUGCUAAGACCGAUGUGAAAUCCCCGGGCUCAACCUGGGAACUGCAUUGGUGACUGGCAGGCUAGAGUAUGGCAGAGGGGGGUAGAAUUCCACGUGUAGCAGUGAAAUGCGUAGAGAUGUGGAGGAAUACCGAUGGCGAAGGCAGCCCCCUUGGGCCAAUACUGACGCUCAUGCACGAAAGCGUGGGGAGCAAACAGGAUUAGAUACCCUGGUAGUCCACGCCCUAAACGAUGUCAACUAGUUGUUGGGGAUUCAUUUCCUUAGUAACGUAGCUAACGCGUGAAGUUGACCGCCUGGGGAGUACGGUCGCAAGAUUAAAACUCAAAUGAAUUGACGGGGUCAUAGCUGUUUCCU
RNAcentral lists this ribosomal RNA (586 nucleotides) under uncultured bacterium. RNAcentral describes it as "partial 16S ribosomal RNA". It matches the Rfam family "Bacterial small subunit ribosomal RNA", at positions 355 to 1375 of the family's 1533-position model. The record is from RNAcentral.